CGGCAAGCAAUGAGUGUCUAAUAAAAUGCUGCUCGCUUCUCUGGCUGUUGCUCUCUCUCUCUUUCUCCUAUUUGCCUUUCUCUUUCUCUGUUUUAUUUCUUUUCCUCUGUCUGUCUUGCCAACCUACGUAGCACAGCAUGCUCAACAUCAGCAUAGGGAGAUAGAUAGAACAGCAAAAGUGAGGCAGAAGAAAAGGACAGAAAUAUGUCUAGCUCUAACAUCUCACUCCGUGUGAAUGCAGCCUGCUGUGUCAUCCGUCAUCCAUCUGUGUGGGAGACAUCUUUGAUCUGUCAAAGAAGAGGAUCUUUGAUUUACCAGAGUUGGAUAUCUUUGUGACCUGUUGAGGAAACAUCUCUUUUGAAAUCUACUAGAAAAGGAUAUCAUUGUACAGUGGGGGAUCUCUCCUCAUUGUGUAUUUCUAAGGAGGAUAGGAGAGCGUGUGUCCUUUGUGUUGGCCAAGGCAAGGCUCUCGGAAUACUGUAAUGGUUAAAGACUUCAUUCAGGGAUGGCCCCCUUACUACUGAAUUGUCGACCUUUGCUUUGGUGAAGGCAAAAAAAUGAUGACAAAUGUGAUAUGAUAUUGAGCUAUAAAUGCAUUCAACUCAACUUUUCAUCUGCCAAUAAUGCGUAGGACACCACCCCGUCUUGACGGAACACAACAAAAGAACGCCAAGCAGCAGGGUGAGGAAGAAGAGGAGGGAAAAGAGGCGGAACAAGAAGAGGAAGAGAAGGGAGAAGAGGAGGGACAUCAUGAUUUGGCUAAAUCUUCUCUAUGCCCGUCCUGUAGGCGUGGUUUUGAUGUUGCCCUUCUCCUACCAUGCUCCCAUACCCUGUGUGGGCGCUGUGUAGGAGGUGGAGAGGGGGCAGGGCGAUGUGGAGAGGGGGCAGGGCAAUGUGUACUGGAUGAGGAAGGGGACGGUGUGUGCCAUGCUUCCCGUGGUGGCACCUGUUCUGCCCACCACCGCUCUACCAGUACACCUGUGUGUGCCGUGCUGUGCCCUUGCUGUCGUCACCCUGUGGAGCUGCCAUGCUGGGAGUGGGCUUCUGCCACCUGUUGCCUGCCCCCUGACCCCACCCUGACCCCUGGGUGGACAGCCAGUAGUGCUGGGGACCAGGCGGAAGGAGGGAUGAAGGCCUUCUCACAGAGGAAUCCAUUCGGCAGAGACAAAGAGGAUGUCACGGACCAGAUCACUGCUGCAUAUGGCUCACCACUGGAGGGUACUAUAGACCUGCGAGAGGAGGAGAUGGAACAGUCUGUCUCAGGUCUGACAUUCACCCUGGACCCCUCUGCUGCUGCUCCCUCCCUCCAUCUCUCCACCUCUUCUCUCACUGUGACCUUCCAUGGACCAAGCCCUCCACCACUACCCUCUCGCCAUCAUGGAAACAGGGUGACAGGGUCAGUAACGAACACUGAAUCCCAGGAGUCUGCCCCCCAGCCCCUCCCUCAGGUGUGUGGGGACGUGGUCAUCGUCAGGGGUCAGUUCUACUGGGAGGUGGACGUCUGCAACAGCACCCUCUACAGGAUAGGAGUGAGCUCAUUGGACGAUGCUUGCGGCUGGUGGCUGGAAAGGCGGGGCUUGUCCUUCUCCACUGUGUACGAUAGCCGUCGGGAGCCCUUACAUGCCGUGCCACCCCAGAUCAAGACCCUAGGGCUGUUCCUCAACAUGGGUGGAGGGGCGCUGAGCUUCCACAACCCUCUGACCCAGGAGCACCUGGCCACCCUACCCACUCGCUUCAGCCAUGCUGGGGUACGUCCCGCUCUGGGGCUGGGCCAGGGCAGGCUGAGGCUCCACUGUGGCCUACCCCCUCCACCUCACGUCUUUCUCAGCCGAGCAUCCGACUAUAGAGGGCCUACUGGAGCUGGUGGGGGUCGCUGGCGCAGAGACAUGCCCUUCCGAUCUGUACGGAUGGUCAUCCAGAAGUUUGAGGAGCUGGCGGUGUCAGAUUCGGACUCAGGGCUGGUGUCCAGUUUUGGGUCAUCCUGCUCCACUCUGGCCGAACCAGGCCCAGGCCUCAGCUUCAGCCUCAGCCCAGGAGCAGCUCUCCAUUCUGGGAAAGAGGGGAAGGAGGCUGGGGCAGAGUGACAUAUGGAGGACAGAGUAUAGUACCUUGUACAAUGAAGGGCCUCUACCCUGCUGGUGAUAGGAGCAAACUGCUACCACAUCACACUGUCACAUCAUCACAUUGCAAAUAGGUUGUCACAAGGUUGGUCAUGACAAUGUGUGACAAAUUUGGGAUAAACUUGUGAGAUGGAAGGACCAUUCUUCUGCUGUAUGAUGGGAGAAAAGUGAAUAACACACCAACUCUUUGGGAUGAGUUUGAUCUUUGGACGACCAUUUCCAUGUCUAAUUUCCCAUCUCUGAAGAACUCUCUGUGACUUCUCCCCAGGAUGCUGGGCUUCCUCUCAGCUACAUAACCCCUGGAGGUUUGGGGCUGGGCCAGCGCUGUUUGUGGGGGUGUUAGGAGGAUGUCUCACUGGGGGUCCCACACUCUGGUGUGGGGGUUGAUUGUAGGACAGUAGGGUUGAUACGGAUGGUGGUGGUGUGUGUGUGUGUGAGGAUGUGAGGCGUGGGAGUCAGUGGCGGUAACACUACCAGUGUUGACUCAGGGUCACAAAGACAGGUGGUUACGUAUGUUUAUCCCGCAGGACGUGUGUGUGUGUGUGUGUAUGUGUGUGUGUGUGUGUGUGUGUGUGUGUGUGAGAGAUGGUUGGAGCAUGAAUAAGUCAGAAAUGUUAGAUUGUUUGUCCACUUGAUUGUGAUAUUCAAUCCUACUGCAACAUUAUUUGUCUGGUCAUCUGAACCAGGAAGUAGUAUUAAAGAGAGAUUUCCCUCUGUCCCAUCCUGUCUCUCCAUGAUUUCUCUUUUCUCUUGUUCUGAUUUAGAUUAGAUUUUAGAUUUUAGUCAUUUAGCAGACGCUCUUAUCCAGAGCGACUUACAGUAGUGAAUGCAUACAUUUCAUUUCAUACAUUUUUUUUUCUGUGCUGC
Long non-coding RNA from Salmo trutta (river trout), 2987 nucleotides. Ensembl lists it as uncharacterized. NCBI's taxonomy places the organism in Eukaryota, Metazoa, Chordata, Actinopteri, Salmoniformes, Salmonidae. The record is from Ensembl.